UUGAAUACUCUUCAGUUUGGUAUUUUGGUUGCUAAAUAGAAUAGCAAAAAUAUCAACAAACUCAUAGUGAUUCCGAACAUUACUUUAACUAAAACCAUCUAAAAUAAUUUGUUAAAUAAAUAAUAGCAAUAUGAACUAUAACUUUUCAAUAAGGCACAUCUAGAAGCAAAUCUAUUCACCUUUCAGAAUUUCAUACCUUUUCUUGAUAGAUGACUCCAACAUUCCACGGUAGUAGAUGUUGACAAAUUUCUUGCUAUCAAAACUAAAGUCAAUUCAUGGAAGUACAUAUAGCAACUUGAACAAUUCUAAUCAUUCAAAUCAAGGGAGUUACAGUUAUAUACAUCCACACUUUAGUUCUAUCAUAAUCCAAUUGUAAAAGCAUAAAAAUCCAGAUCCAAAACUUCUCAUGAUAACAAACACAGGGGCGUUAAGAAUGUAAUAUUCAGCCCCUGAAGAAGAUUGAAUGCUAGCAGCAAUACAGCACAACAAGAAAAACCUCAAACAUCUAACAGCAAUACUAGAUUUAAAAUUGCAUAGCUCAAACUUCCAUUUGCUUGAGAGAAACACGACUUUGUUAAAAAAAAGGUUAUGGUUCAUUGUUAAUAAAAAAUAAAAAGCUUGCUCCAAAAUGAACAUUUGUUUAAAAGUAAAAAAUGUAACUCUAAGUAUAGUUGAAAAUUUCACAUUAUUUUCCCCCACAAACCUACUUUAACAAUAGUAAUUUUUCAAUUGUCUGCAAAUGCUAACUCAACUGAUAAAUCUCGUCAACCAUAAACCAUAAACCAGCUCAAUCGAAACAAACACUUAAAACAAUCAAUUUUCAAAAUCAAGAUUAUAUAAAAUCAAAUUUGCAACCACUCACUCAAACAAACAAGCAAUAAAAAGUAAAAACCCUAGUUUUAAAGUUCUACACUGCACUUAUAAGCUAUUGAAACUGUUUUCCUUUUCGGAUUUGAGAAUUCUUAAUUAUUUCAAUAAACAAUCAAAUUUAUUGCAUUAUACAUAAAAUCCCAAUGUAAAUUAAUCUUAGAGAUAAAAACUUCCAAAUAUAAAUCACUUCAUUUAAAUAUUAUUUCAAGAAAAUCAAUUAUAUAUAUAUAAUAAUUAUAUAAUAUAUAUAUUAUAAUAUAUAUAUAUAUAUAUAGAUAGAUAUAUAUAUAUAUAUAUGAUCAUCCAAAAUCAAAUUUACAAACCCUCAACCAAAAACACAAAAUUGAAAAAUCCAUGAUUCAUGAUCUCCACAUAGCUUUUGAGCUUUUAAUACUUUUAUUUUUAUUGAAGAACAAAAAAAAUCAAAAUCCAUAAGACAAAAAGAUAAGAAAAAGGACAAAAGCAUAGUAGUAAGAUCUGGAAUAUUUGAAAAUCAAAAUCUGAAAGUAAUACUAGCAACAAGAAUAAUGAAUAAAUAAUAAGAAAGAAGAGUUUGUUUUGAAGAUUUAGAAGCAGGUAGAAAAUAAGAAAAAAAAAAGCAUACCUUGAAUUGAAGAUGUUAGAAUUUGUUGUUAAUGAAUGGUUAGAAGAGAAGAGGUUAGAUCUUUGAUGGCGAAUUGCAUGUGUUCUUGUUAUCUGGUUAGAUCUAUUUGCGGUGAGUGGUGAAUUGUGAUUUGUGUGUUUAAGAGAGAGAAAGAUGUAGUCAAAGAGAAAAAGAUGGGAGAGGAUUGAAUAUUCACCAAUAAAACUAGUGUUUUAGAAAGAG
RNAcentral lists this long non-coding RNA (1696 nucleotides) under Lathyrus oleraceus (garden pea). RNAcentral's name for it is "Pisum sativum (pea) long non-coding RNA (PSAT_LNC022649)". Lineage: Eukaryota; Viridiplantae; Streptophyta; Magnoliopsida; Fabales; Fabaceae. The record is from RNAcentral.